This 253-nucleotide unclassified non-coding RNA is filed under the name uncultured Flavobacteriaceae bacterium. RNAcentral's name for it is "contains 16S-23S intergenic spacer region". It matches the Rfam family "Bacterial small subunit ribosomal RNA", at positions 524 to 776 of the family's 1533-position model. Lineage: Bacteria; Pseudomonadati; Bacteroidota; Flavobacteriia; Flavobacteriales; Flavobacteriaceae. The record is from RNAcentral.
UACGUAGGGGGCAAGCGUUGUCCGGAAUCAUUGGGUUUAAAGGGUCCGUAGGCGGGUUAAUAAGUCAGUGGUGAAAGUCUGCAGCUCAACUGUAGAAUUGCCAUUGAUACUGUUAACCUUGAGUAAUUAUGAAGUGGUUAGAAUAUGUAGUGUAGCGGUGAAAUGCAUAGAUAUUACAUAGAAUACCGAUUGCGAAGGCAGAUCACUAAUAAUGUACUGACGCUGAUGGACGAAAGCGUAGGUAGCGAACAGG